Molecule: ribosomal RNA, 253 nt
Filed under: uncultured bacterium
Lineage: Bacteria
Description: partial 16S ribosomal RNA
Rfam family: Bacterial small subunit ribosomal RNA
Source: RNAcentral
UACGAAGGGGCUAGCGUUGUUCGGAAUUACUGGGCGUAAAGCGCACGUAGGCGGAUCGAUCAGUCAGGGGUGAAAUCCCAGGGCUCAACCCUGGAACUGCCUUUGAUACUGUCGAUCUGGAGUAUGGAAGAGGUGAGUGGAAUUCCGAGUGUAGAGGUGAAAUUCGUAGAUAUUCGGAAGAACACCAGUGGCGAAGGCGACUUACUGGACACAUAUUGACGCUGAGGUGCGAAAGCGUGGGAGCAAACAGGAU